CCUGUCACAGUAACUUGUGAUGGAUAGUCAGUACAUUCUGCAUACAGUUAACCUGCCACCCUUUCAUGACACACUGAACAAAAGAUAUCCCUCCGGCUGCAGGUCCAGGAGACCAAGACAGGUCCAGGAGACCAAGACAGCCAAAGGACGACUAGAGGACCACCUGGCAAAGGUUCUAUCAGAGGUGGCCAGCCAGGAGUGGAACCUGGAGGCCCUGCGCGUGGCCAUCGAAGACAAAGCAGGUCCCCUGAAGGUGGCUGACACGGCUGUCCACCCACAGCCAGAGAUACAGCAUCGAGCUCUACCAUGACCCGGUCCAGGUCCGCCUGCUCUCCGAGGUCCAGGAGCUCACUGCACACAUCAAGAGACUACGAGAGGCCCAGGCGGAGGUGCUGGCCCUGACCCGUUCACAGCUGAUCCUGGAAGAGGAGAUCCAGGUCAAGUCCCUUUCUCUCUACAUCGAUGAGGUCAUCUGCACCCAGCUCCACCAGCCCAUCUCCACCAACAGCUUCUGAAUAGCACUCCCACCACGACAAGCCUGGUCCCUGAUCUGUUUGUGCUGACUUGCAUCAACAGAUCUGGGACAAGCCUAGACCAUGGCCACACUGACUUUAUAGUGGGGCUCUUUAGCUUAUGCUGACAUACCCAGGCUAACAUUUUCACUGAUUAAUAAAAUAUGAGGUAUACAUUAUAAUGGAA
Molecule: long non-coding RNA, 699 nt
Filed under: Salmo salar (Atlantic salmon)
Lineage: Eukaryota; Metazoa; Chordata; Actinopteri; Salmoniformes; Salmonidae
Description: lncRNA (ENSSSAG00000120155.1, ENSSSAG00020047901.1)
Source: RNAcentral